ACGGGUGAGUAACACGUGAGCAACCUACCCCUGACUCUGGGAUAAGCGCUGGAAACGGCGUCUAAUACUGGAUAUGUGACUCGACCGCAUGGUCUGUGUCUGGAAAGAAUUUCGGUUGGGGAUGGGCUCGCGGCCUAUCAGCUUGUUGGUGAGGUAAUGGCUCACCAAGGCGUCGACGGGUAGCCGGCCUGAGAGGGUGACCGGCCACACUGGGACUGAGACACGGCCCAGACUCCUACGGGAGGCAGCAGUGGGGAAUAUUGCACAAUGGGCGCAAGCCUGAUGCAGCAACGCCGCGUGAGGGAUGACGGCCUUCGGGUUGUAAACCUCUUUUAGCAGGGAAGAAGCGAAAGUGACGGUACCUGCAGAAAAAGCGCCGGCUAACUACGUGCCAGCAGCCGCGGUAAUACGUAGGGCGCAAGCGUUAUCCGGAAUUAUUGGGCGUAAAGAGCUCGUAGGCGGUUUGUCGCGUCUGCUGUGAAAUCCGGAGGCUCAACCUCCGGCCUGCAGUGGGUACGGGCAGACUAGAGUGCGGUAGGGGAGAUUGGAAUUCCUGGUGUAGCGGUGGAAUGCGCAGA
Molecule: ribosomal RNA, 578 nt
Filed under: Microbacterium sp. HRTP053
Lineage: Bacteria; Bacillati; Actinomycetota; Actinomycetes; Micrococcales; Microbacteriaceae
Description: bacterial SSU rRNA
Rfam family: Bacterial small subunit ribosomal RNA
Source: RNAcentral